This 475-nucleotide unclassified non-coding RNA is filed under the name Hevea brasiliensis (rubber tree). Lineage: Eukaryota; Viridiplantae; Streptophyta; Magnoliopsida; Malpighiales; Euphorbiaceae. The record is from RNAcentral.
GUCAACUCUUAAAACAGAAAACAAUUUAUUAAUUUGAAAUUUAAUGAUCACAAAUGUAUGACCAUAAACUAAAAAAGAGAAAAACUUAUCACAUGCAAAAAUAUAAAUACCUUAUUUUUAAAUUUUGUAACAAAUAUUAAGAUUAUUUACUUCUCAAUUUUAUUAAAAAUGAAAAAAAAAUUACAGGGGCCAAUCAGUGAUAAUUCGUGUGUGUUUGUGUAAAUCUUUGAGCAUGGGCACACCCCCUAGACCCAUUAGAUAUAACUGAAACAAAUUAAAUAACCUUUAAAUCAAAUUGAUAAAUUUAGAAGUAUAAGAUACAAAUGAAAUAGGGCACAAAAUUCAAGAUUUUCAUAUCACUACCCCUAGUUUUAGGGAUUCAAAGCGGUCACAGUUGGCUAGAAUUUUCAACAACCCCAAGUAGGGCUGAGCAAAAAUCCAUUUUAACCAAAAAAACUGAACCAAACCGAUUUAA